UACGGAGGGUGCAAGCGUUAUCCGGAUUUACUGGGUUUAAAGGGUGUGAAGGCGGACUUUUAAGUCAGGGGUGAAAUCCCGAGGCUCAACCUCGGAACUGCCUUUGAUACUAUUGGUCUUGAAUGUUGUUGAGGUGGGCGGAACGGGUCAUGUAGCGGUGAAAUGCAUAGAUAUGACCCGGAACACCGAUUGCGAAGGCAGCCCGCUAAGCAACUAUUGACGCUGAGGCACGAAAGCGUGGGGAUCAAACAGG
RNAcentral lists this ribosomal RNA (253 nucleotides) under uncultured bacterium. Its description in RNAcentral is "partial 16S ribosomal RNA". It matches the Rfam family "Bacterial small subunit ribosomal RNA", at positions 524 to 776 of the family's 1533-position model. The record is from RNAcentral.